AGAAGCACUCUAGCUACAGAUUAGAAUGAUGACAAGAGUAAUACCUUCCUAGUGAAGAUGACUUUUAUUUCAGGACUAUAUUAAGUUUCCCAACUUCUGUCAUGAUAUAGUCCAAAGAGAACCUGGACCACGCAGACAUCAAACAGAACAUGACACUGACCCAUUCUAUCAGUGACGUUGUGCUGAUUGCACAGGACAGAUGAGAGGCUCGUAUACUAGAAGUCUUGUUAUCCACAGAAGGAAUGAUCUGCAAUGUACACACGCCAGGACAGAAAUUCUACAGUUGCUGAUAAAAUGUAAACCUGAAUGCCAAGAACUACAGCAAAAUCUUGUCCAGAUGUGAUUCCACAGUACAGUCAGCCCUGAAGACACAAUUCCAGAAUUACAAAUUUUGUCUAUUUACCCAAAAUGUAAGGUGGAUAAUCUUUUCAGUUUAUUGGUUACAAAUGACCAGCUGACAAGUUACUCAGCUUCUGCAAUUGUGGUGAAAUUCUAGAGCUACCAAGAAAGGGUCACUUGUUCAAGAAGAACAAGCUAAGGAAUUGAUUGGCUCUUCAGAACUUGUGCCAACUUCCUUUCUGCAGGCGGGCUAAAUAUUGGAUACCUUUGAGAGAAGGGAAGCCAUCAUCUUAGGAAAAAAACCUCUCUCUGCUGUGAACAAGCUGAAUGCAAUCACAGAAACUGCAGACAAAAGAGCUUUUGAUGACAGAUAUUGCUGAUGCCUGGUGCCUUCAAAGGCAUUCCAGGAAAGGUGAAGGAAUAAUUAUGAUUAACAAUAACUCAUGUUUCUUCCAGGAUGUUACUCAUUGAACCAAUGGGUCACUUGAGAAAUAUGUCAGUGAGUCAGCUCACAUCCAAUUUGGCAAAAAGAUCCUGGGCUCCCAAACUCUUUGCAUUGAACUGAGUAAACCCAAAUGAAUACAUUCUGGGGGAGAAGUAAAGGAAGGAGAACUGUGGUGGUAAAAGACAGAGUUGGCUCCUUCAGUCUCCACCUCCACAGUCCCACCCCCAUAUUUAAGUGGAAUGAAAUUAUCAAGGCCAAUGAAGAAAGUCUUGAGCAUACCUUUAGAAAAGUUAAAGGACUCAGAUGAAGGAAAAAUACAGAAACACCACCAGGAAACAAGGAGAGUCUAAUAACUCACCACACAUCUAAAACAACAUGAACUUAUAAAUUUAUAUUGCAACUUAUACAGUAAGAGCAUAUACCAAAAGCCAGUUAAAAUAAUAAUGGUUACAAAUAAAAAGGAGUUUGGACUGGC
This is a long non-coding RNA of Homo sapiens (human), 1259 nucleotides long. NCBI's taxonomy places the organism in Eukaryota, Metazoa, Chordata, Mammalia, Primates, Hominidae. The record is from Ensembl.